This is a long non-coding RNA of Homo sapiens (human), 2638 nucleotides long. Ensembl annotates it as SH3BP5 antisense RNA 1. Its record names the gene SH3BP5-AS1. The record is from Ensembl. NCBI's taxonomy places the organism in Eukaryota, Metazoa, Chordata, Mammalia, Primates, Hominidae.
CUCUGUGAGUGCCUAAUGAAGGAAUGUGACUUCCCAAGCCUGAAUGACCAGCCUCUAAAGCAGCUGGAAGGGAAGCAGCUGGCAGCAGGAUCCCAUGGAUAUUAAGCGCCCUUCCAAUAACCUUAUAACCCUGCCAAGAAAUCAGUGUCACCAGACACCACCUAAAAAUGGAAGAUUAAUUCAGCCACAAAUUAGGACCUUUACUCCACCUCAGUCCCCCAAAUACAUCCUCAUGUGCACAGGAAGAGGUUCUAGUCCUCUGUAACAUAUCCCAAACAAAGCCAGCUGGACUCAGGCUUCUUUCUUAGGGCAAUAGAAGCAAGAGCUGCUAGAAGAAACAGGCCAGCAUGGAACAUCUGUUGGGACCUUUGUUAUCUCCAGGACUUCUCAGCCUUGAAUGUUCAAAUGUAUACUUUGACUCUCAAAGAGGAGUGAAGGUGUAACAUUUUCCCAAUUUAUUUGACCACAGAAUCCUGACUUUGAGGAACACUUAGUACCUUCUUAAUGAACACAGUGUUCCAUAAAACAUGGGAACCCACCAGAAAUAGCCCUCAGGCCUGCCCAACUCUGAGACCUUUCACUGAUGGCCAGAGAAAGUGAGGACCUUGGGAAACAAAUCACACAGUCUGAUAUCUCCCCACAUACCCAGUGGAGCCCCUGACUUACCAGAAAUGGCAUCAGGCUCAGGUUUGCUCCCUGGCAGAUCCUCCACAGAUGUGCUGCUGCCCUCAGCACCAACACCGCAUCCCCGAGGCCCCAUGGCACUGGAGCGCCGCCGCUCGUGGAUCUCAUCUGAGAUCAUCUCCAGGUUCUUCAGGGCCAUCUUGUACUCGCCUUUUGCCAGGGUCAGUUUGGCCUGCAGGUCAUCCACAGUCUUUUUCAGUUGCUGAUCAAGAGAACAGGAGACUAAGUGAAGACUACCCUGCUAGCCUUAAGAUGCUUUCUGAAUGACAGGUUCAAGUACAUUUUCUGCCCAUCAUUCUACUUCAAGGAAUUUUCCAAGACAUGACUGAAGACCUAAUUACCAUUGUAACUGCUAUUCAUUCACCAGACAAAAUCAGCCACCACCAUCCCCAGAUCCCAUCCAGGUGACAACCUCUAAUAUCCAAAAACUCUCACUGGUGGAACAAACCCCAUCAGGGAAGCAAAAAUGGGCAUCAGACACACCAAAGUCCCACAGUCUAGACAUCUGGUUCCCAGUACAGUGGUUCUCAAAGUUGAGCUUGCAUCAAAAUCCCCUUGGGUGUUAAGACUCAGCUCACUAGACUCCAACCUCAGAGUUUCUAAUUCAGUCGGUCUAGAGUGGGACCUGGUCUAUCAGGUCUCCAGGUGAUGCUGAUGCUGCUGGUCCUAAGAGCAUGCUGUGAGAACCACUGGCCUAGUACAACAGAGAAGGUGACUGAAUGGCAGUUACAGAGGUUCAGAGACCACUGAAGACCCAACCGAGACAAUUUUGAGGUCUGAAAACUCAGUAAAGCCUGUCUCUCCACUUUCCCCUUAUAGCAAGUGGCCCAUGUGAUACUCUGCUACCCCAGAAAAGUGAAGCUUUGAGUGCAGAAAAAUCUCAUCAGUGACGAAGCCCAAAGCUACACAUACCUCGAGCUGCACAUAGUACUUUGCCUUGAGUUCAAAAUAAGGCCUGCAGAAGACAGGAAGGAAAGCCAUCAGAGUAAUAUAAUACAGUGACCACAGUCAACUCCACAAGAUGAACAAGAGGCAUCAGCUACCACUGGCCAGGUCGUCCUUCCAAUAUUUAGUAAACUCUUAACAAGGCCGUGACAUGUCAGUGAUGCUCCUAGCUCUGGAGACUGACAGACACCAGAUGGAACGACUGGGCUCACCCAGGGCUAUAUUAACAGGAGGCCCAUCUCAAGACACGGGGAACCCACACACACAUAUCUUGGGGACUCUGCAACUUAGCUCAUGUUCCUCCUCUGUGGGAAGGCUGUUCAGAGCCUCACAGGUUAUACCCAGCAGUAAGGGUGGCCUGGAUCUGCUCUCCUAAUGAAGUUGGCUCCCCAGGGAUGAAGAGCAGCUGAGGCUGGAGAAGGGGCUGCUUAAACCUCCUCCUCUACUGAAGUCAACUGGGGAAGAGAGAGAAGCACCACUCCUCCCUCACAGCACAGCAAGGCCACCACUAGGAGGGGGUCUCAGGUUGGUCCUCCCAAACCUUGUCCAAAGACUGGAGUUAUUAGUUGGCUGACUCAGCCACAUAAUGGGCCCAAGAAAUGCCAGCGUCCUAGCAGUUCCCUUGGUUCUGGGUCAGCUGAAAGAGCUUGGCUCUUUUUUAGGAACUUUGGUGCCUGAACAUUAAGAGUAGAUCACUGCUUUAUUCUUGAGCUGUUCACCCUCCAUGAAGCUCUCAAGUCCUGCAUCCUGAGGAUCCAGAUGGAUGACAAGGACACAGGACUGCCAUUGAGAAAUGAAGAUGAACUGUGUCACAGAUGCAGUGGAUUACUGACUGCCCUUGUAAUAGUCCAUUUUGCAUCUGUUGGUAAUUCAUUGAGGCACUCUUGGUUUUCUAUGAGUUUGUAUUUUUUGAAUUCAAGAAUUGUAACAUCACUGUUAGAUCCCUCCUUAUUUAAUGAGAGAAAUAAAAUAUUUGACACGAGAAAAUUUUAUAUUUGUAUCCCAAUUA